AGGCCGUGUGUGCAGUGCGUUGGGGGGGCGUGCAGCUCCGCUGCGCAUUUCCCUCACGCAUAGAUCCGUUGCUAACCGGUGAUAACCUUAGAAGUGAUAAAAGCCUGAGAGCAUCCCUCUUCCAGAGUAGUCUGCAGAGGUACCCUGGGAAAGAAAGAGGCACAGCAUGCAGGAGAAAAGAUAAUAAAUCGUCUCACGCUUUCCAGAAGUACCACCAAGCUCGAUGUCCAAAGGCUUUACAGCAGACUGGCUGUGAACACUUGGCAAUCAGUGACUUCAGCUCCUGCAAGGUAACCGUUGCUCAUAAAUGAUUCCCAAGAACCAAAGUGAGUGACUUGAAGAAAAACUGAUAUGAUCACUGAACAGAAAUGUAUUCUGGACUCAGACAAGGAAAUAAGCUUGCAUCACAAGUGU
Molecule: long non-coding RNA, 414 nt
Organism: Gallus gallus (chicken)
Lineage: Eukaryota; Metazoa; Chordata; Aves; Galliformes; Phasianidae
Source: Ensembl